RNAcentral lists this ribosomal RNA (420 nucleotides) under uncultured bacterium. RNAcentral's name for it is "bacterial SSU rRNA". It matches the Rfam family "Bacterial small subunit ribosomal RNA", at positions 356 to 773 of the family's 1533-position model. The record is from RNAcentral.
GAGGAAUAUUGGUCAAUGGGCGAGAGCCUGAACCAGCCAAGUAGCGUGCAGGACGACGGCCCUAUGGGUUGUAAACUGCUUUUAUGCGGGGAUAAAACGCGGGACGUGUCCCGCCUUGCAGGUACCGCAUGAAUAAGCACCGGCUAACUUCGUGCCAGCAGCCGCGGUAAUACGAAGGGUGCAAGCGUUAAUCGGAAUUACUGGGCGUAAAGCGCGCGUAGGUGGUUGGGUAAGUUGAAUGUGAAAGCCCCGGGCUCAACCUGGGAACUGCAUCCAAAACUGCCCGACUAGAGUACGGUAGAGGGUGGUGGAAUUUCCUGUGUAGCGGUGAAAUGCGUAGAUAUAGGAAGGAACACCAGUGGCGAAGGCGACCACCUGGACUGAUACUGACACUGAGGUGCGAAAGCGUGGGGAGCAAAC